CAAUCGACUCGUCGUCCACUCUCACUCUAUCUCAGGUGCGAGCAAGGAGCAUGAGCUCGAGCCUAGCCAUACGACAUCGGCAGGACAGCUCACAUCAUCGCAUACAGCAACUCCAGGUUAGUGCAUCUGUAACUCGUCAUUCCUUUAGUUAUAUACCUUCUCUUUGAGUUAUUAUAACAUUGGGUUGCAAUAUUACAGGCGCAACUAGAAGAAGAAAGGAGGGAACAGCAAGGGAUGGAGACGAGGAUGAUAGCGGAGCGGGAGGCCCACUAGACAGAUCAGUAGAGGAUGGCUGAGAUAAUCUAGUACAUGCAGAGCCUUGCCGCCGUACCUGGUUUUACUCCACCACCUCCGUUGUUCCCUCCAGUUGACCCUACUCAGCUCCAUAUUCCUG
This 394-nucleotide long non-coding RNA is filed under the name Zea mays. Its description in RNAcentral is "long non-coding RNA (ZMAY_LNC000400)". The record is from RNAcentral. Lineage: Eukaryota; Viridiplantae; Streptophyta; Magnoliopsida; Poales; Poaceae.